Molecule: ribosomal RNA, 441 nt
Filed under: uncultured Porphyromonas sp.
Lineage: Bacteria; Pseudomonadati; Bacteroidota; Bacteroidia; Bacteroidales; Porphyromonadaceae
Description: bacterial SSU rRNA
Rfam family: Bacterial small subunit ribosomal RNA
Source: RNAcentral
UAAGGGAUAUUGGUCAAUGGGCGGGAGCCUGAACCAGCCAUGCCGCGUGAGGGAUUGAGGCCCUACGGGUCGUAAACCUCUUUUGCCGGGGGAUAACGGGCGCCACGUGUGGCGCUGUGAAGGUACCCGGAGAAUAAGCAUCGGCUAACUCCGUGCCAGCAGCCGCGGUAAUACGGAGGAUGCGAGCGUUAUCCGGAUUUAUUGGGUUUAAAGGGUGCGUAGGCGGAUUAUUAAGUCAGCGGUGAAAGCGUGUGGCUCAACCAUACCGAGCCGUUGAAACUGGUAGUCUUGAGUGCAAAUGAGGUAGGCGGAAUGUGACGUGUAGCGGUGAAAUGCUUAGAUAUGUCCCAGAACUCCGAUUGCGAAGGCAGCUUACCAAGAUGUAACUGACGCUGAUGCACGAAAGCGUGGGUAUCAAACAGGAUUAGAUACCCUGGUAGU